Non-coding RNA from Theobroma cacao (cacao), 1298 nucleotides. NCBI's taxonomy places the organism in Eukaryota, Viridiplantae, Streptophyta, Magnoliopsida, Malvales, Malvaceae. The record is from RefSeq and is a predicted model, not a curated record.
CUAGGACGAGGUGUCCUUGUAGACCUGUGUCCAUCUUUUGGGCGAUGCUUCAUUGCGCGAUAUUGGUGAUGACCACGAUGAUGCUAAUGAUGGGCAGCGUGAUAAACUUAGUGUUCACAUUCACCAUGAUGUUAUUGCUGUUGACGAAGAGAAUGUAACUUAUGUCAAUGAUGCUGUGGUAGGGGAUGUCACCUUUCAAUCAGAUGAUGCUGAAGAAGACCAUGUUCUUGAGGCCGAUUCGAUUAUCGAUGCAUCUUUGGGAGGGAAAGGGGACCUUCACUUAGGUGAGGCUAAAAAGGACCAUCUUCCUAAGGCCGAUGCAGUAGUCAAGGCAAUAGCAUGAGGGGAUCGGAACCUUGCAUUAGUUCUGGCUGAAGGGGACCAUCUUCAUCAGAGCACUCCUAAAGGCAGCGCGUCAUGGGUGUCUUUACUAGAGUUGUCUGAUGUCCAUCAUCUUGAAGCACUGAUUUCAGACCCAACUGAAAGGGCACGGGUCAAAAUGGUCAGCAAAUACAUGGCAAGCCCGUAUGUUAAUCUGUCAGUGAGCUAUCGGGAUGUUAAUAACUCAAUGGUGGAAGGGUACAAAGCUUUCAAUAAAGACAAGCGUAACGUCGAGAUCUUAGGGGAUCAAGAGGCUGACAUUUUCACAACGUUAGAGGAUCCCAAAGAGGAAAUGACAAGUGAACAAAUAGACGCAUGCCUCAGCAUACUCUGUAAGCGAAUGACAGGGCCAAAGUUGAAACUGUACAACAGUCGUGCAUACGUGGUUGAUACGAUAUUCUUCACACCAUCCAUAUGCUCUACACCGCAUUUUCAAUUGAAAGGUGAAGGGUAAGAGGCCAAUAUACAGUAAAAAAUGGGAAGAUGUCGAUUUCAUCCUCGCACCUUGCAAUGUGGGUGGGCAUUGGGUGGUUGCGAAGAUCAACUUGGUCAGGUGGACAAUCAAGGUGGUGGACUCCGCAAGAACUUCAGAUGCUAAGGAUAACAAUGUGCGUGUGGCUCAAAUGACACCCCUUAUGACAAUGAUCCCAAUCAUCUGCCACAAAGCUAGUUAUUUCCACAAAACGAGUCGAAAGACAUGAGAUUCGAUGCUAAUGCCAUUGAAAAUUCAUUUGUCAAAAGCUAAAGUGCAUCGGCAGAAUGAUAGUGUUAGCUACAGUAUGUUCACCAUAGGGUACAUUGACGAUAUUUUGCAAUCGAAACCAAUCAAAGUUAAGCAGAAUAUGAUUGCUAAUAUGCAUCGCCAAUACGUUCUAGAAAUUUUUUUUCAACAAUUGUGAGAACGAACCCUAAACAUA